Lagopus leucura (white-tailed ptarmigan) is the source of this 272-nucleotide long non-coding RNA. RefSeq lists it as uncharacterized. The transcript has 3 exons. Lineage: Eukaryota; Metazoa; Chordata; Aves; Galliformes; Phasianidae. The record is from RefSeq and is a predicted model, not a curated record.
UCCCAGGGCGUCAGUGAGGCGGUGGUGUGAAACCCUGAACUCACAGUGCUGAUGGAUGAGCGCAAGCUGGGGGUGGGAAAGGAGCAUCAAAAUAUUGCCCCAGACAUGGAAAGGCUGGUGUUUGUCUUCUUGAAGCGACUCAGAUAUACAGCAACCUGUCAGACACCGGGACCAUCCGGAAACCUUUGGACUCCAGGAGGAGCAGAUGGGAACAAGCCUGAAACCAAAGGGAAGCGACACUGGGAGGGAGAGUGGGGAAUAACCUUCAAAAG